This is a long non-coding RNA of Oreochromis aureus, 823 nucleotides long. RefSeq lists it as uncharacterized. The transcript has 3 exons. The record is from RefSeq and is a predicted model, not a curated record. Lineage: Eukaryota; Metazoa; Chordata; Actinopteri; Cichliformes; Cichlidae.
UAGAUUGGUGUAAGUAGCUACUUUGUUAAUACUUUUAUAAUGUUUGCUUUACAUUUCUCAUUAGUAGAAAACCUACAAGGUGAGGCACAAAAUAAAUAUUUCAUGUCACUUAAUGUCUGGUAACAGUUCAAAAGUCAGCUUUUGUUUACUUUUGUUAGCAGUUUUAUGACAUUUUAAACCCAAAUUUCACUUUGAGUUUCCUCCCUGUGGGCCAAAUAUAUUCAGUUUUAAACUUCUAAUCAGCUCGCCAAGAUGGAAAGAGACGACCGUGCUGCGUUGCAGUCACCAACCUCGAUAUGAGUGCUGAGGUGGUGGGGGAGACAUAUCGUCAGCAGGCCGCAACACCACCCUGUGUGAAGGCUAUAAUUUUCAACACAGAACAUGGACCGCUUUGUGCUGAUCCAAACGCUCAGUGGGUCAAAGAUCUCAUUGCGAGCAUGACGAGGGUAUGAAGUACAAAGUGUGAGGUGAAGCAUCGCUGCCUGUCGGCUCAUCAGUAUCUCCUCAUGAAUUUUAUUCGAACUUUUCUUUGAAAUGUUUUUAUUACUUUACUCUUUUAAUUCUGUUCUUGUUCUUAUAUGACUUUAUAGUGACGACUAAUAAUGGACGUGAAUCUAUGCUUACACGAACGAACCAACUGAUUUUCUUUUUUUUUUUUUAAGUUUAGUUACAUAUUUAGUUUCAAAUCUUCUUUUAUUCUUUAUUUUUUGCUUUUAUGAUUCCAUUUAUCUGUGUAUAUCAUGAUGUUUUGCAAAGCUGACUCUGACAAAUGAUAUCCAAAUAAACUUUGACCACCAGUCAUUCAAUAAAUCUAAUAUCUUAA